Molecule: transfer RNA, 97 nt
Filed under: Thiohalocapsa marina
Lineage: Bacteria; Pseudomonadati; Pseudomonadota; Gammaproteobacteria; Chromatiales; Chromatiaceae
Description: tRNA-Ser
Source: RNAcentral
GCGCGAGCGGCUAACCCAUUGUUUCAAUUACCCUGAUUUUCCAUCAAUCGGUCUUUUAAUCAGGUGGUCGAUGGUUCGAGUCCAUCAGGGCGCACCA